UACGGAGGGUGCAAGCGUUAUCCGGAAUCACUGGGUUUAAAGGGUGCGCAGGCGGCCCGAUCAGUCAGUUGUGAAAUCCCCCGGCUUAACCGGCGGGACUGCGAUUGAUACUGUCGGGCUUGAAUCGGGUUGAGGCAGGCGGAAUGUGGCAUGUAGCGGUGAAAUGCUUAGAUAUGCCAUAGAACACCGAUUGCGAAGGCAGCUUGCUGGGCCUUGAUUGACGCUGAGGCACGAAAGCGUGGGGAGCAAA
This 250-nucleotide ribosomal RNA is filed under the name uncultured bacterium. RNAcentral describes it as "partial 16S ribosomal RNA". It matches the Rfam family "Bacterial small subunit ribosomal RNA", at positions 524 to 772 of the family's 1533-position model. The record is from RNAcentral.